Molecule: ribosomal RNA, 279 nt
Filed under: uncultured Staphylococcus sp.
Lineage: Bacteria; Bacillati; Bacillota; Bacilli; Caryophanales; Staphylococcaceae
Description: partial 16S ribosomal RNA
Rfam family: Bacterial small subunit ribosomal RNA
Source: RNAcentral
CUCCUUUGACGUUAGCGGCGGACGGGUGAGUAACACGUGGGUAACCUACCUAUAAGACUGGGAUAACUUCGGGAAACCGGAGCUAAUACCGGAUAAUAUUUCGAACCGCAUGGUUCGAUAGUGAAAGGUGGUUUUGCUAUCACUUAUAGAUGGACCCGCGCGUAUUAGCUAGUUGGUAAGGUAACGGCUUACCAAGGCGACGAUACGUAGCCGACCUGAGAGGGUGAUCGGCCACACUGGAACUGAGACACGGUCCAGACUCCUACGGAGGCAGCAGUC